GGAUAAGUGCUGAAAGCAUCUAAGCAUGAAGCCCCCCUCAAGAUGAGAUUUCCCAACUUCGGUUAUAAGAUCCCUCGAAGAUGACGAGGUUAAUAGGUUCGAGGUGGAAGCGUGGUGACACGUGGAGCUGACGAAUACUAAUCGAUCGAAGACUUAAUCAAUUUUUAAA
This 169-nucleotide ribosomal RNA is filed under the name Heliobacterium chlorum. Its description in RNAcentral is "partial 23S ribosomal RNA". It matches the Rfam family "Bacterial large subunit ribosomal RNA", at positions 2762 to 2925 of the family's 2925-position model. Lineage: Bacteria; Bacillati; Bacillota; Clostridia; Eubacteriales; Heliobacteriaceae. The record is from RNAcentral.